GACGAACGCUGGCGGCGUGCUUAACACAUGCAAGUCGAACGGAAAGGCCCUGCUUGCAGGGUACUCGAGUGGCGAACGGGUGAGUAACACGUGGGUGAUCUGCCCUGCACUUCGGGAUAAGCCUGGAAAACUGGGUCUAAUACCGGAUAGGAGCCAUUUUUAGUGUGAUGGUUGGAAAGUUUUUUCGGUGUAGGAUCAGCUCGCGGCCUAUCAGCUUGUUGGUGGGGUAAUGGCCUACCAAGGCGGCGACGGGUAGCCGGCCUGAGAGGGUGGACGGCCACAUUGGGACUGAGAUACGGCCCAGACUCCUAAGGGAGGCAGAAGUGGGGAAUAUUGCACAAUGGGAGCAAGACUGAUGCAGCGACGCAGCGUGGGGGAUGACGGCCUUCGGGUUGUAAACUCCUUUCGCUAGGGACGAAGCUUUUGUGACGGUACCUAGAUAAGAAGCACCGGCUAACUACGUG
RNAcentral lists this ribosomal RNA (464 nucleotides) under uncultured bacterium. Its description in RNAcentral is "partial 16S ribosomal RNA". It matches the Rfam family "Bacterial small subunit ribosomal RNA", at positions 28 to 507 of the family's 1533-position model. The record is from RNAcentral.